GGCCAGACUCCUACGGGAGGCAGCAGUGGGGAAUAUUGCACAAUGGGGGAAACCCCGAUGCAGCGACGCCGCGUGAGUGAAGAAGUAUUUCGGUAUGUAAAGCUCUAUCAGCAGGAAAGAAAAUGACGGCACCUGACUAAGAAGCCCCGGCUAACUACGUGCCAGCAGCCGCGGUAAUACGUAGGGGGCAAGCGUUAUCCGGAUUUACUGGGUGUAAAGGGAGCGUAGACGGUGAAGCAAGUCUGAAGUGAAAGGCGGGGGCUCAACCCCCGGACUGCUUUGGAAACUGUUUGACUGGAGUGCAGGAGAGGUAAGUGGAAUUCCUAGUGUAGCGGUGAAAUGCGUAGAUAUUAGGAGGAACACCAGUGGCGAAGGCGGCUUACUGGACUGUAACUGACGUUGAGGCUCGAAAGCGUGGGGAGCAAACAGGAUUAGAUACCCGUGUA
This 446-nucleotide ribosomal RNA is filed under the name uncultured bacterium. RNAcentral's name for it is "partial 16S ribosomal RNA". It matches the Rfam family "Bacterial small subunit ribosomal RNA", at positions 329 to 792 of the family's 1533-position model. The record is from RNAcentral.